Molecule: unclassified non-coding RNA, 206 nt
Filed under: Hevea brasiliensis (rubber tree)
Lineage: Eukaryota; Viridiplantae; Streptophyta; Magnoliopsida; Malpighiales; Euphorbiaceae
Source: RNAcentral
AAAUGAAUGUAAAAAAUUUGUUCUGAACUUAUUAUUAUCAUCAUUGUGGAUCUGUAAUUUGAGCCAAGCCAAACUACACUAAAUAGCCUCACUUUUUUCUUCAUGUAAAAUAGUUUACGGAUUAACUUUUGUGUAAGUUUUUGCAGCCAUUUUGGUCUAAAUUCAUUCUUGUGUCAAAUUUCCAGGUUGAUAUGGAUACUGAAGAU